AGAGUUUGAUCAUGGCUCAGGAUGAACGCUAGCGGCAGGCCUAACACAUGCAAGUCGAGGGAGAAACGGUUAUGAAUGAUUCUUCGGAUGAGUGAUUAACUAGAAACCGGCGCACGGGUGCGUAACGCGUAGGUAACUUACCUUAUACACAAGGAUAGCCAUUGGAAACGAUGAUUAAUACCUGAUGACACUGAAUUACCACAUGGUGAUUUGGUCAAAGAUUUAUCGGUAUAAGAUGGACCUGCGUCUGAUUAGUUAGUUGGUGAGGUAACGGCUCACCAAGACUACGAUCAGUAGGGGACCUGAGAGGGUGAUCCCCCACACUGGAACUGAGACACGGUCCAGACUCCUACGGGAGGCAGCAGUGAGGAAUAUUGCACAAUGGACGCAAGUCUGAUGCAGCAAUGCCGCGUGAACGAUGACGGCCUUUGGGUCGUAAAGUUCUUUUCUUAGGGAAGAAAAUUGACGGUACUUAAAGAAUAAGCACCGGCUAACUCCGGUUGAACCUCCCUUGCCAGAAGGAGGCUACGUAACGUAGUAACUUUUUGUAAGGUAUAGAAAGUUAUAGAGGUCGUUAGGAGGGACUUACUUAAUGAGUGAAUAAUGUACAAGAAAGCGGGUCGACUGGUCCGUUUUGUACAACGAAUACGCGAGGAACCUUACCAAAUCUUAAAUGCCUAAUGCCCAUCACUUAAUCGUGAUUUCCCUUCGGGGCAAUAGUGCAAGGUGGUGCAUGGUUGUCGUCAGCUCGUGCCGUGAGGUGUCAGGUUAAGUCCUAUAACGAGCGCAACCCUUAUCUUUAGUUGCCAUCAGUAAUGCUGGGGCCUCUAGAGAGACUGCCGGUGCAAACCGAGAGGAAGGUGGGGAUGACGUCAAAUCAUCACGCCCCUUACGAUUUGGGCUACACACGUGCUACAAUGGUCGGUACAACGGGCAGCCACAGGGUAACCUGGAGCGAAUCCUAUAAAGCCGAUCUCAGUUCGGAUCGUGGUCUGCAACUCGACCACGUGAAGUUGGAGUUGCUAGUAAUCGUGAAUCAGAAUGUCCCGGUGAAUGCGUUCCCGGGUCUUGUACACACCGCCCGUCAAGCCAUGGAAGUUGGGGGCACCUGAAGCCAGUAUCCACCGUAAGGAGGAAACUGUCUAGGGUGAAUUCAAUGACUAGGGCUAAGUCGUAACAAGGUA
Molecule: ribosomal RNA, 1184 nt
Filed under: uncultured low G+C Gram-positive bacterium
Lineage: Bacteria; Bacillati; Bacillota
Description: bacterial SSU rRNA
Rfam family: Bacterial small subunit ribosomal RNA
Source: RNAcentral